GAGUGCAAUCAUACGGGCACUAAAGCACCGGAUCCCAUUAGAACUCCGAAGUUAAGCGUGCUUGGGUGAGAGUACCACUGUCUAAGUGCCUGUUUGAGUCCAUAUAAGCUUUUU
RNAcentral lists this ribosomal RNA (114 nucleotides) under Musa acuminata subsp. malaccensis (wild Malaysian banana). Lineage: Eukaryota; Viridiplantae; Streptophyta; Magnoliopsida; Zingiberales; Musaceae. The record is from RNAcentral.